Molecule: small nucleolar RNA, 143 nt
Organism: Acomys russatus (golden spiny mouse)
Lineage: Eukaryota; Metazoa; Chordata; Mammalia; Rodentia; Muridae
Product: small nucleolar RNA SNORA28
Exons: 1
Source: RefSeq, a predicted model, not a curated record
CAGGGGAACCUUGUCUCAAAAAACAAACAAUCAAAAAGUCCAGGGCCUGUCUGACACAAUUUGAGCUUGCUAUAGCAAAAAAGUCUAACCUAUUCCAGUGUUCUCUUCCUCAUGAGACAAGCCGUUAUAUAGACUCAAAAAAU